GACAAUGAGCGCCGAGAUAGGGCAGCUCCUCUAUUAGGAUCGCACCGAAUUCCCCGUGUGAAAGGCACUUAGCUUUCGGCAUUGUUGCCGGGUUAACGAUUUUCGCUGCGCGGCGAUAUCAGCUUAUCGCGCAAUACACGGUUAAGCGAAAGAAUAGAUGCCGAUCGAGAGCCCAGCGAGGAACAAGCGAUAUAUAUUUCGGAUACGAAGAGAAGAUAGAAGAGUACCACCGAAGGCUCGCCGUUGCACUGUACGAAGAAAAGAAGAAGAGAGAGAGAGAGA
Formica exsecta is the source of this 282-nucleotide long non-coding RNA. RefSeq lists it as uncharacterized. NCBI's taxonomy places the organism in Eukaryota, Metazoa, Arthropoda, Insecta, Hymenoptera, Formicidae. The transcript has 2 exons. The record is from RefSeq and is a predicted model, not a curated record.